This 254-nucleotide ribosomal RNA is filed under the name uncultured bacterium. RNAcentral describes it as "partial 16S ribosomal RNA". It matches the Rfam family "Bacterial small subunit ribosomal RNA", at positions 524 to 776 of the family's 1533-position model. The record is from RNAcentral.
UACGUAGGGGGCUAGCGUUGUCCGGAAUCAUUGGGCGUAAAGCGCGUGUAGGCGGCUCGGUAAGUCGGAUGUGAAAACUCAGGGCUCAACCCGGAGACGCCAUCCGAUACUGCUGUGACUUGAGUCUGGUAGGGGAACACGGAAUACCUGGUGUAGCGGUGAAAUGCGCAGAUAUCAGGUGGAACACCGAUGGCGAAGGCAGUGUUCUGGGCCAGUACUGACGCUGAGGAGCGAAAGCGUGGGGAGCAAACAGG